GAUGAACGCUGGCGGCGUGCCUAAUACAUGCAAGUCGAGCGAACGGACGAGAAGCUUGCUUCUCUGAUGUUAGCGGCGGACGGGUGAGUAACACGUGGAUAACCUACCUAUAAGACUGGGAUAACUUCGGGAAACCGUAGCUAAUACCGGAUAAUAUUUUGAACCGCAUGGUUCAAUAGUGAAAGACGGUCUUGCUGUCACUUAUAGAUGGAUCCGCGCUGCAUUAGCUAGUUGGUAAGGUAACGGCUUACCAAGGCAACGAUGCAUAGCCGACCUGAGAGGGUGAUCGGCCACACUGGAACUGAGACACGGUCCAGACUCCUACGGGAGGCAGCAGUAGGGAAUCUUCCGCAAAGGGCGAAAGCCUGACGGAGCAACGCCGCGUGAGUGAUGAAGGUCUUCGGAUCGUAAAACUCUGUUAUUAGGGAAGAACAUAUGUGUAAGUAACUGUGCACGUCUUGACGGUACCUAAUCAGAAAGCCACGGCUAACUACGUG
Molecule: ribosomal RNA, 497 nt
Filed under: uncultured bacterium
Lineage: Bacteria
Description: partial 16S ribosomal RNA
Rfam family: Bacterial small subunit ribosomal RNA
Source: RNAcentral